UACGUAGGUGGCAAGCGUUGUCCGGAUUUACUGGGUGUAAAGGGUGCGCAGGCGGACCUUUAAGUAGAAAGUGAAAGGUUGGAGCUCAACUCCGACACUGCUCUCUAUACUGGGGGUCUUGAGUCUUGGAGGGGGAAGCGGAACGACACGUGUAGCGGUGAAAUGCGUUGAUAUGUGUCGGAACACCAAUGGCGAAAGCAGCUUCCUGGACAAGUACUGACGCUCAGGCACGAAAGCCAAGGUAGCAAACAGG
This 253-nucleotide ribosomal RNA is filed under the name uncultured bacterium. Its description in RNAcentral is "partial 16S ribosomal RNA". It matches the Rfam family "Bacterial small subunit ribosomal RNA", at positions 524 to 776 of the family's 1533-position model. The record is from RNAcentral.